RNAcentral lists this long non-coding RNA (623 nucleotides) under Vitis vinifera (wine grape). RNAcentral's name for it is "long non-coding RNA (VVIN_LNC006476)". The record is from RNAcentral. Lineage: Eukaryota; Viridiplantae; Streptophyta; Magnoliopsida; Vitales; Vitaceae.
AAGAAGCCACAGGUCCAAACAACAAUGGCUUCCUCCUCCUCCUCCUCCUCUUCUUCUUCUUCUUCUUCAUUAUUAUGAAACAAAGGCCAGUUCCAUUGUAGCCCCAUAGCCCUCAAACAUCUACGUGAUGUGAGCAAUCUCUGAGGACAACAGUUAUGGCGGUAGAGUUUGUUCAUGGACCCAACUUUUGCUUCUCUUCAACACCUUCAAGAGUACUCUCCAUCCCUUUUUAACUAUUAUCUUCCUGCGGUUUUUCUUUUUUGGGAUGUUUGGAAUUCAAAGUGGGUUUUGGGUUGGUUUGUUUUGUAAAGCAGGGGAUUGUUUUGUCAGUAAAGUUUGUUCUUUUAUUUGUAUUCAGUGGGUUUUAGUGCUGCUUAGUGUGUUUUCCUUUGUUGUUUGAUGUGGGCUUUCAUUAUUUGAAUCUCUUGUGAUGAUUUGAAGGACAUGCUAUCUGAGUUAUGUAUAUUAUGGGAAAUUUUUUCUGAAAUUGAUUUAUUUUUAGUGCUCCUUUAUGAUUAUCCAGAUUUCUAGGUCAUUUUCAUAGAGAUUUUGUUGUGAUGUUCUUUGGCUUCUGAUUGUGCAUCCUUUCUCUUAGGAAGAGGGACAUUUUGAUGAACAAUUNN